UGCUAAGGGAUGAGGGAGGGUACCACAUGUCCCACGUGUCCUCCUCACCGCAGACCCAUCGCAUUUUCUCUUUCGCUUCCCCAUCCUUCGUUUCCGCAUACCGCAGAUACGCACACACAUACGAUACGACCUCAUCCAUACACCCAUACGCACCCGCCUUGCGGAGCGAUGCAUCCGCGGUGCGCACUCUCCCCGUCCUCACUACAUCCUCACUGAUCAGACUCCGGGCCCGUGUUGAUCACUUCAGCCGCAGGCCUAAUAAGACUAUGAUUCAUUUUUUCCAUCAAUCUGAUAUGCAAAUCCAAAAUUCUCCGGCUGCAGGAGACGCGUAAAAGAGUAGGGGGGGAGACAUGAAAAGACGCGCACCGUCAGAUGUUUAGCAGGUUCACUUCGGAUCUUCGCCAUCAUCUUGCGCUUUUGCUCUUUUUUUCCUUAUUCCCUCCAUCGGCCAGUUCGGGACAUUUUGCGGCUCUCGAUGCUGUAAGCCGGGGGAAUAUGUGAAGAUCAUGCUGGCGGUGUGGUGCUUCAUGGUCUUUGCUGCAGUGGGCGAGCGCCUCGGAGUCUCAGGUGUGGACCAGAGUCCGGAGCAGGAUGGAGACAUGUGGGACUGGUUUAAGGCGGACAGCAGAGACACAGGAACUGAAGUCACCUAUCCGAAGAGGCUGGUGCAGCAGAGCAAGUCUGAGGGGGAAAUGGCUCAUGAGCACCUGGAUACCAGGGUGAAGAACAGCACAGCACACCCAUCGCCUGUUCACUUGGCCCAGAGCUGUUUUCAAGUUCAAGCCUUUGGACACACCUUUACCUUGGACCUGGAGCUAAAUCAUCACCUCCUGUCUUCAGAAUAUGUGGAACGGCACUUUAACCAGGACGGCAGACCCUCGCAGUCAGUGGGAGGUGAGCACUGCUACUAUCAGGGACGACUAAGAGGUUUACCAGAGUCCUGGGCAGCUCUAUCCACCUGCAACGGCCUUUGUGGUAUGUUCUCUGACGGCUUCUUCUCUUACGGGAUUGAACCCAUUCAGAACGGAAGCACGCAGGAUGAUGGCGCUCACUUAAUUCGUAGGAUGCCUGAUAUCAGACUUUCCCCCGACUGCCCAGACUGUACAGAGGACAAGUGGGACAGCAGAGGAGGUGACGGCGACAACGACCGACCAGAACAAAUAAGGGAGCAACAGGUGUCAGGUGGACUCAGGAGAUCCAAGAGAUUUGUUCGCAGACCCUCCGUCCAGACCGAGACCAAAUAUAUUGAGCUGAUGGUGGUCAACGACAAUGAAAUGUUUGUAAAGCUGCGCAACAGCCAAACCAAGAACUUUGCCAAAGCAGUGGUCAACAUGGCAGAUGCGAUCUUCAAGGAACAGCUGAACACAAGGAUCGUUCUUGUUGCCAUGGAGACCUGGUCCUCUAAAGACAUGAUACCCAUCGUGGAGGACCCGUUGGUUACGCUGCAGAACUUCAUGAAGUACAGGAAGGACAACAUCAAAGAGCAGUGUGAUGUCGUCCAUCUUUUAUCGGGCCAUAAUUUUCAUAGUAGUCGCACUGGGACGGCCUAUACUGGAGGGGUUUGCUCUCUGACGAAGGGCGGAGGCGUCAAUGAGUACGGGAAUGUCGGUGUCAUGGCCAUCACUUUGUGCCAAAGCCUGGGCCAGAACAUCGGGAUGAGGUGGAACAAUAUACGCAACUCUGCAGGAGACUGCAGGUGUCCGGACACCUGGCUGGGCUGCAUCAUGGAAGACACGGGAUACAAUCUGCCCAGAAAGUUUUCUCGCUGCAGUGUUGACGAGUACAUCCAGUUCCUGCUCCAGGGGGGCGGGAGCUGCCUCUUCAACAAGCCCAGCAAGCUGUUUGACCCUCCAGAGUGUGGGAAUGGCUUUGUGGAGGCAGGCGAGGAGUGUGAUUGUGGAUCCCAGGUGGAGUGUGCACGAAGUGGAGGCGCAUGCUGUAAGAAAUGUACGCUUACCCACGACGCCAUGUGCAGUAAUGGACUCUGCUGCAGCGGCUGUAAGUACGAGCAAAGAGGUGUUGUGUGUCGCGAGGCUGUGAACGACUGUGAUAUCCCAGAAACCUGCACCGGAGACUCAAGCCAGUGCCCACACAAUGUGCACAAGCUGGACGGAUACAUGUGUGAUAGCAUUCAGGGACGCUGUUACGGGGGGCGAUGCAGGACUCGUGAUGGACAGUGCAAAGGACUCUGGGGUUAUAAUUCUGCAGACAGGUUUUGUUACGAGAAGCUGAAUGCCGAGGGGACGGAGAAGGGAAACUGUGGUACCGGUCCUGACGGUCAGGGCUGGCUGCAGUGUAACAAGCCGGAUGUUUUAUGCGGCUUUCUGUUCUGUGCCAACGUGACUAUGAACCCAAAGUUCGGAGACCUGCUUGGUGAGUUGACCAGCUUCACCCUCUACCACCAGAACAAGUACCUGGACUGCCGAGGAGGACAUGUCCUGCUGGAGGACGGCUCAGAUCUCGGGUAUGUGGAGGACGGGACUCCCUGCGGUCCCAAUAUGAUGUGUUUGGAGCGACGCUGCCUCCCUGUGGUGGCCUUUAACCUCAGCACCUGCCCUGGAUCAAACUUUGGACGCAUCUGUUCUGACCACGGGACCUGCAGCAACGAGGUGAAGUGCAUCUGCGACCGGGACUACACCGGCAAGGACUGCAGCGUCUUUGACCCCAUCCCUGAGCCCACGGUCCCCCCGGGUCCUGAGAAGAAAGUCUGCCAAUGACACAGAGCAAUUGAGCAGCUGUUCUCAUAGGGCCAAAAAGAGCCAAAAGAGCCAAAGCCACCCUGAGCAAGAGGGUGUCCAGCUGAAAGAGCAGGAGAGUGGCAAUGAGAACAAAGUCCCAGUGGCACCAAUAUCAUAAUAGGGUCCAUCGCAGGUGCUAUUCUCCUGGCAGCUAUAGUCCUAGGGGGAACAGGAUGGGGAUUUAAGAACAUUCGAAGAGGAAG
This is an RNA transcript of Sphaeramia orbicularis (orbiculate cardinalfish), 2941 nucleotides long. It is a transcript of the gene named disintegrin and metalloproteinase domain-containing protein 11-like, with no coding region annotated. NCBI's taxonomy places the organism in Eukaryota, Metazoa, Chordata, Actinopteri, Kurtiformes, Apogonidae. The transcript has 26 exons. The record is from RefSeq and is a predicted model, not a curated record.